UAGGGAAUCUUCGGCAAUGGACGGAAGUCUGACCGAGCAACGCCGCGUGAGUGAAGAAGGUUUUCGGAUCGUAAAGCUCUGUUGUAAGAGAAGAACGAGUGUGAGAGUGGAAAGUUCACACUGUGACGGUAUCUUACCAGAAAGGGACGGCUAACUACGUACCAGCAGCCGCGGUAAUACGUAGGUCCCGAGCGUUGUCCGGAUUUAUUGGGCGUAAAGCGAGCGCAGGCGGUUAGAUAAGUCUGAAGUUAAAGGCUGUGGCUUAACCAUAGUACGCUUUGGAAACUGUUUAACUUGAGUGCAAGAGGGGAGAGUGGAAUUCCAUGUGUAGCGGUGAAAUGCGUAGAUAUAUGGAGGAACACCGGUGGCGAAAGCGGCUCUCUGGCUUGUAACUGACGCUGAGGCUCGAAAGCGUGGGGAGCAAACAGGAUUAGAUACCCUGGUAGUCCACGCCGUAAACGAUGAGUGCUAGGUGUUAGACCCUUUCCGGGGUUUAGUGCCGCAGCUAACGCAUUAAGCACUCCGCCUGGGGAGUACGACCGCAAGGUUG
This 550-nucleotide ribosomal RNA is filed under the name uncultured bacterium. RNAcentral's name for it is "bacterial SSU rRNA". It matches the Rfam family "Bacterial small subunit ribosomal RNA", at positions 355 to 896 of the family's 1533-position model. The record is from RNAcentral.